Phascolarctos cinereus (koala) is the source of this 1129-nucleotide non-coding RNA. The record is from RefSeq and is a predicted model, not a curated record. NCBI's taxonomy places the organism in Eukaryota, Metazoa, Chordata, Mammalia, Diprotodontia, Phascolarctidae.
GUAUCUUUGUUUCUCACCAAGUCCCUAGCCCAGCAGUCUACACAUAGUAGGCAUUUAACACAAAUGUAUUGAAUAGGAGAAUGAAUGAAAGAUAAAGGUGAGGAAAAGGAAAAAAUCAAAGAUGGUGCUGAGAUUUUCCCUGACAUCUCUAUAAGAAAUCAAUAUAAUCAUUUUUCGGAAAACUUGUGGUUUCUGAUGUCCAGGGAGGAAAAGAGAAAGAAAAAAAGAGAAGAAAACGGUUAUAUUUCCUAUGACAGUUAAACUUCCAAAACUCCAUCAUUACCUUAUGGAUAAAUUGAGGCUUUGGGAGAUGGAAUGGAUUUGUCUAAGGUUUCUUCAAAUCAUAGCACUGCAAAUGGGCUUUUUAUCAGGGAAAGGGGAGGAUCAGACUGUAAUAAGGAACCAAAAGGGAAAUUCAACAUAUCUUAAUAUCCUGCAACUAAAUUUUUCUCUCUGCUAUGAUCGCCAGGAGCCGGAAAUUGUAGGUAAGACUCGAGAAUUCCUGUCCCUGCUCAGUUAGAAUCCUGUUUGAUUACAAUCAUUUCAGAAGGAUGAGCCUGAAAUUGAAACCAUCAAAGAGAAAAGCCAGCCAGGGUAGCUUUUAUCAGGGCUAAUAUGUGCUUUAAAUUGGAAAUGUCUAAUGUGAAAAACGUCCCACAAAUGCAAACAGUCCUCAGUGACAUCAAAUUAUUCCCAUUUUUUCUUCAGAUAAUAGUAAAAUCCCAAGGAAAAAGUUAUGAAGAAAUAAGGUUCUCUGUAUUAUAGCAACAAGAAAAUGCAAAUAAUGGGACCUUCUCCUUUAGUUUGUAAAACCUGCAGUGUUUGAGUGACAAUCAGAACCAGGUGCGACAGGCAAGCUCUACCAAGUGUUAUGAAAUUUUUUCAUCUCUUCCUAUUGCUUCUCCUAGUUAUUACAAGAUAGGAUUUGAAGUUAGAAGGAAGAUUAAAGAUCAUCUACUAUAACCCCUUCAUUUUAAAGAAAAGGAAAUUGAGACGCAAAAACCUUAAGUAGCCUUCCUGGGGUCAUUUAAGCUAUCAAACAGCAAAACUGUCAUUAUAGGGUAGUGGAUAGACCGCUGGUUUCAGAGUCAGGAAGACCUGCAUUUGAAUCUUACCUCAGACAAUUCGU